Octopus sinensis (East Asian common octopus) is the source of this 131-nucleotide long non-coding RNA. RefSeq lists it as uncharacterized. The record is from RefSeq and is a predicted model, not a curated record. The transcript is spliced from 3 exons. NCBI's taxonomy places the organism in Eukaryota, Metazoa, Mollusca, Cephalopoda, Octopoda, Octopodidae.
CAUGAAAGCAUAUGUAUGUAUAUAUUGGGUUGUCAGGAAAGUAAGUGCCGAAUUAUAGCAGCUUAUCUUUCGACUUAUUUUAGAACAUGGUUGAGUCCAUAAAAUAGGAUUUGACUACACCUCCAUUUAGA